This 253-nucleotide ribosomal RNA is filed under the name uncultured bacterium. RNAcentral's name for it is "partial 16S ribosomal RNA". It matches the Rfam family "Bacterial small subunit ribosomal RNA", at positions 524 to 776 of the family's 1533-position model. The record is from RNAcentral.
UACGUAGGGUGCAAGCGUUGUCCGGAAUUAUUGGGCGUAAAGAGCUCGUAGGCGGUUUGUCGCGUCUGCUGUGAAAACUCGGGGCUUAACCCCGGGCCUGCAGUGGGUACGGGCAGACUAGAGUGCGGUAGGGGAGACUGGAAUUCCUGGUGUAGCGGUGGAAUGCGCAGAUAUCAGGAGGAACAUCCGUGGCGAAGGCGGCUCUCUGGGACGGUACUGACGCUGAGACGCGAAAGCGUGGGGAGCGAACAGG